CAGCCCUAAACGAUGCGCGUUAGGUGUAUCGGUGACCACGAGUCACCGGGGUGCCGAAGGGAAACCGUGAAACGUGCCGCCUGGGAAGUACGGUCGCAAGGCUGAAACUUAAAGGAAUUGGCGGGGAGCACCACAAGAGGUGGAGGCUGCGGUUCAAUUGGACUCAACGCCGGAAGCUUACCGGAUAAGACAGCGGAAUGAUUGCCGGGCUGAAGACCCUGCAUGACCAGCUGAGAGGAGGUGCAUGGCGUAGUCGUGU
RNAcentral lists this ribosomal RNA (259 nucleotides) under uncultured archaeon. Its description in RNAcentral is "partial 16S ribosomal RNA". It matches the Rfam family "Archaeal small subunit ribosomal RNA", at positions 748 to 1009 of the family's 1478-position model. The record is from RNAcentral.